UACCUCGUUUUACCUCAGCACAGCGCAGCCGGUCCCGGCUUGUCUCUGUCCUGCUCCUGGCUCUGCCGCCCACUUAGGGAGCAGGAAAAGCUCUUGCCCACAUCCUCGGGGAAUGCCACAAUGUGACAGAGCCGUGACCGCAGCCCCUCAGCCCUCCUGAGGGGAUACACCCGGGAUACAGAGGGCCCUGCUGCCAUUGCCUGCUGUGUGGAGGGCACUCACUGUGCAGGCUGGCUUAGAGCUGCACAAGGACUUUCAGAGAGGAAGCUGAAUUAGAAGAGUAAGAAUGAUUUAAACAACAAAGCUGUUCCCAUUUGAAGACACUGCUGUGGUGUAUUUUGGACACUGGAGCUUGGUACUUCCCAUUCGUGCUACCCUGCCAUGUUUUCCAGCUACCCUGCCAGCACACAGGUCACAUGAGAUGGACACUGAGCUCAACUCAGCUGGAAGAACUGCAUCCUGCAUAUGUUCUCCUGCUGGAGACUUCCAUGCUGUAAGCUUUGCCUGUGACAAAGCUGGAAUUACCGCGGCUCUUUGGGAGCAGCAGAUAUACAGCACAAUGGAAAGUACCGAAUGCUUAGGGAAAGAGCAUGAGAACAGAGACAACUCAUAGAGGUCCUGCUCAUGGCAACCCCUGCUCAGAGAUGCCUGGCAGUGAGCGGUCUGACCCCUGCCUUCAGCAGGUGCCAGUGCUCGUGAAUUUAUCUC
Molecule: long non-coding RNA, 708 nt
Organism: Lepidothrix coronata (blue-crowned manakin)
Lineage: Eukaryota; Metazoa; Chordata; Aves; Passeriformes; Pipridae
Exons: 3
Source: RefSeq, a predicted model, not a curated record